UCCCCUGAUUGGCUACGGAUCAGAUGUGGCUGGAGCUGCAAUGGAGAAGGUGGCUUCCUCUCAAAUGAUUGGUAAGCAUUCUGACAUGACUUGCAGCCUGACUUCACAAGGUGAUGCGAACCCCACAAGUUAUGGAAUUCAGCCUGAAACACCAAAGGAGUGGCCAAUACCUGCUUAAUGUUCUCUAAUGGAAUACAAGCUAUACCUCCCCUUAUUCUAUGUAGCAGAUGAAUCCCUUUACAGUGAUGCAGUUUUGCUCACAUCAGGCCAAUUAGCAUUUCAUGUAGAGCUUAUCUUUAACAUAAAAAACUCUUAACAAAAUUUUGUUCUGUUUUUAUCUCCAAACCAUGGACCUAAUUGUCUGGUGCACAAUAAAAGAAAAGCAAAGACAUUUUGCA
This 398-nucleotide long non-coding RNA is filed under the name Struthio camelus australis. RNAcentral describes it as "lncRNA (ENSSCUG00000010784.1)". Lineage: Eukaryota; Metazoa; Chordata; Aves; Struthioniformes; Struthionidae. The record is from RNAcentral.